This 544-nucleotide long non-coding RNA is filed under the name Homo sapiens (human). Its description in RNAcentral is "HSALNT0003574". Lineage: Eukaryota; Metazoa; Chordata; Mammalia; Primates; Hominidae. The record is from RNAcentral.
AGUCUGUGGAGGAGACCAGUGGAGAAGGUCCAGAAGUGGAAAUGGAGUCCUGGCAGAAGCGAUACGAUUCGCUCCAAAAGAUUGUGGAGAAGCAGCAGCAGAAGAUGGAUCAGUUGCGCUCACAAGUACAGAUUGAAGACAGCUCAGGUGUGCCUUGGAGGUUUCCUGGAGGUAACAGCAGAAGAGCAGCUUGAAGAAAGGAAAAGAGAAAGCCUAGAGCAGGAAGUGGCUCAAGAAGAAGGAACAAGCCAGGCCCUGAGAGAGGAGGCCCAGCGAAGGGAUUCAGCCCUGCAGCAGCUGCGCACAGCCGUGAAGGAGCUUUCAGUGCAAAACCAGGACUUGAUUGAGAAGAAUCUGACACUCCAGGAACACCUGCGCCAGGCCCAACCAGGGUCUCCACCUUCACCAGACACGGCCCAGCUGGCACUUGAGCUGCACCAGGAGUUGGCCAGUUGCCUUCAAGAUCUGCAGGCUGUCUGUAGCAUUGUGACCCAGAGGGCCCAGGGCCAUGACCCCAAUCUCUCCCUGCUCCUGGGCAUUCACU